GGACUACUUGGGUAUCUAAUCCGGUUUGCUCCCCCAGCUUUCGUCCCUCACUGUCGGACCCGUUCUGGUGAGAUGCCUUCGCUAUAGGUGGUCCCACCGGGAUUACAGGAUUUCACUCCUACCCCGGCAGUACCUCUCACCUCUCCCGGUCCCAAGAAAUGCAGUUUCCCCUGAACGCCCGCCAGUUAAGCUGGCGGAUUUCUCAAAAGACUUGCAUAUCAAGCUACGGACCCUUUAAGCCCAGUAAUAGUGGCCACCACUCGAGCCGCCGGUAUUACCGCGGCGGCUGGCACCGGUCUUGCCCGGCCCUUUCUUCACCAGUUUUUUAAACUGGCGGACAGCCAGCCUAUGCUGGCACGCGGGGUUUCCUUAUCACGGUUGCCCGCAUGGUAAAGUUUUCGCGCCUGCUGCGUCCCGUAGG
Molecule: ribosomal RNA, 421 nt
Filed under: uncultured Methanospirillum sp.
Lineage: Archaea; Methanobacteriati; Methanobacteriota; Methanomicrobia; Methanomicrobiales; Methanospirillaceae
Description: partial 16S ribosomal RNA
Source: RNAcentral